AGCGUUGUUCGGAAUUACUGGGCGUAAAGCGUACGUAGGCGGAUAGUUAAGUUGGGGGUGAAAGCCCGGGGCUCAACCUCGGAACUGCCUUCAAUACUGGCUAUCUUGAGUACGGGAGAGGUGUGUGGAACUCCGAGUGUAG
Molecule: ribosomal RNA, 142 nt
Filed under: uncultured Alphaproteobacteria bacterium
Lineage: Bacteria; Pseudomonadati; Pseudomonadota; Alphaproteobacteria
Description: partial 16S ribosomal RNA
Rfam family: Bacterial small subunit ribosomal RNA
Source: RNAcentral